UUGUGGGGCUCAAGGGGCAGCAAGGGAUGGGGCUGAGGGGGGGCUGUGGGGGGACCCCCCCCGGUUUGGGGUGCGUGAGGAUGGCUGAGACACCGCGAUCUCAUCCCCUAAAUGCAUCAAAAAGGCUCCAAGGAGGGCCUGGAGAAAAGGGAUGGGGAGACCUCGGGGGGAGCAGGGAGCGGUGCGGGGGCACCGUGGGCACGUGGGGGUGGGCACUGACCCCGUUGGCCCCCCCAAAAUCCAGCGAGGUCCCCCCAAAACGCCGCGUCCUGGAGGUGCACCGGGAGAGGACCGGGACGGGGCCCCUCGUGCCGUGCUCGGUAACCCCACAGGACCCCCGCAGAGUGGGGGUCACCCCUUGGGACCCCCCCCUCCCCGGGACCACCCACGGGGGGGUCUCCAGAUCCACCAAGCAGGACGGACGGAUGGAUGGACAGACAGACAGAUGGAUGGAGCACGACCAAGAGGAAAGGCCAGUCCAUCAAACGAGGCUGCAGCGUGCUGGGACCGGCGGCGCUGCUGGGAACGAAUCCUUUCCGGGGAAGAGAUAGCGACAACACGUGCCUGGCUGGUGGAAAGCUGCUCCCGUCUCCCUCCUGCAGCUGGUUGGUGUUUUUUUUUUCUUGCCUGCCACGUUUCGGUGAUAAAGCACGAUGAAUAAAAUAUCAGGCACUGCAGCGUGGUCGCUACGAAGCUCCCUCGCUGCCCCU
This is a non-coding RNA of Anas platyrhynchos (mallard), 710 nucleotides long. NCBI's taxonomy places the organism in Eukaryota, Metazoa, Chordata, Aves, Anseriformes, Anatidae. The record is from RefSeq and is a predicted model, not a curated record.